Molecule: small nuclear RNA, 99 nt
Filed under: Canis lupus familiaris (dog)
Lineage: Eukaryota; Metazoa; Chordata; Mammalia; Carnivora; Canidae
Also listed under: 1 other name
Source: RNAcentral
GUGCUCACUUCAGCAGCACAUAUACUAAAAUUGGAACAAUACAGAAAAGAUUAGCAUGGCAUGGAUGACGUGCAAAUUCAUAAAGAGUUUCACAUUUUU